GAUGAACGCUGGCGGCCUGCCUAAUACAUGCAAGUCGAGCGAACGGACGAGAAGCUUGCUUCUCUGAUGUUAGCGGCGGACGGGUGAGUAACACGUGGAUAACCUACCUAUAAGACUGGGAUAACUUCGGGAAACCGGAGCUAAUACCGGAUAAUAUUUUGAACCGCAUGGUUCAAAAGUGAAAGACGGUCUUGCUGUCACUUAUAGAUGGAUCCGCGCUGCAUUAGCUAGUUGGUAAGGUAACGGCUUACCAAGGCAACGAUGCAUAGCCGACCUGAGAGGGUGAUCGGCCACACUGGAACUGAGACACGUUCCAGACUCCUACGGGAGGCAGCAGUAGGGAAUCUUCCGCAAUGGGCGAAAGCCUGACGGAGCAACGCCGCGUGAGUGAUGAAGGUCUUCGGAUCGUAAAACUCUGUUAUUAGGGAAGAACAUAUGUGUAAGUAACUGUGCACAUCUUGACGGUACCUAAUCAGAAAGCCACGGCUAACUACGUG
RNAcentral lists this ribosomal RNA (497 nucleotides) under uncultured bacterium. RNAcentral's name for it is "partial 16S ribosomal RNA". It matches the Rfam family "Bacterial small subunit ribosomal RNA", at positions 28 to 507 of the family's 1533-position model. The record is from RNAcentral.